This 419-nucleotide ribosomal RNA is filed under the name bacterium. Its description in RNAcentral is "partial 16S ribosomal RNA". It matches the Rfam family "Bacterial small subunit ribosomal RNA", at positions 355 to 776 of the family's 1533-position model. The record is from RNAcentral.
UGUGGGAUAUUGCACAAUGGGCGAAAGCCUGAUGCAGCGACGCCGCGUGGGGGAUGAAGGCCUUCGGGUUGUAAACUUCUUUUGCUCUGAACAAGGCGCACCAUGGGGAGUGUUGAGUGUAGGGGUUGAUUAGCGCCGGCUAACUACGUGCCAGCAGCCGCGGCAAUACGUAGGGCGCGAGCGUUGUCCGGAAUGAUUGGGCGUAAAGGGCUUGUAGGUGGCUGGUUGCGUCUGUCGUGAAAGCUCAUGGCUUAACUGUGGGUUUGCGGUGGGUACGGGCUGGCUUGAGUGCAGUAGGGGAGGCUGGAAUUCCUGGUGUAGCGGUGGAAUGCGCAGAUAUCAGGAGGAAUACCGGUGGCGAAGGCGGGUCUCUGGGCUGUUACUGACACUGAGGAGCGAAAGCAUGGGGAGCGAACAGG